Non-coding RNA from Schistocerca gregaria, 72 nucleotides. Lineage: Eukaryota; Metazoa; Arthropoda; Insecta; Orthoptera; Acrididae. The record is from the annotation of a RefSeq genome assembly.
GGCAUGUUGGUCUAGGGGUAUGAUUCCUGCUUUGGGCGCUGGUGGUCCCGGGUUCAAAUCCCGGACAGGCCC